Molecule: ribosomal RNA, 500 nt
Filed under: fungal sp. BTGKDF41
Lineage: Eukaryota; Fungi
Description: eukaryotic LSU rRNA
Rfam family: 5.8S ribosomal RNA (bases 126-279)
Source: RNAcentral
CUCUCUACCUUUGUGACUAUUAUACCUGUUGCUUCGGCGGCGCCCGCGAGGGUGCCCGCCGGUCUCAUCAGAAUCUCUGUUUUCGAACCCGACGAUACUUCUGAGUGUUCUUAGCGAACUGUCAAAACUUUUAACAACGGAUCUCUUGGCUCCAGCAUCGAUGAAGAACGCAGCGAAACGCGAUAUGUAAUGUGAAUUGCAGAAUUCAGUGAAUCAUCGAAUCUUUGAACGCACAUGGCGCCUUCCAGUAUCCUGGGAGGCAUGCCUGUCCGAGCGUCGUUUCAACCCUCGAGCCCCCGUGGCCCGGCGUUGGGGAUCUGCCACGGCAGGCCCCUAAAACCAGUGGCGGACCCGAAGGCCCUCUCCUUUGCGCAGUAGCAUCAGCCUCGCAUUGGGAUCCCUCGGCGUCCUGCCUCUAAACCCCCCACAAGUCCGCUCCGGCGGCACCAAGGUUGACCUCGGAUCAGGUAGGAAUACCCGCUGAACUUAAGCAUAUCAAA